UACGUAGGGUGCAAGCGUUAAUCGGAAUUACUGGGCGUAAAGCGUGCGCAGGCGGUUUUGUAAGUCUGUUGUGAAAUCCCCGGGCUUAACCUGGGAAUGGCGAUGGAGACUGCAAGGCUAGAGUUUGGCAGAGGGGGGUAGAAUUCCACGUGUAGCAGUGAAAUGCGUAGAGAUGUGGAGGAACACCGAUGGCGAAGGCAGCCCCCUGGGUCAAAACUGACGCUCAUGCACGAAAGCGUGGGGAGCAAACAGG
This 253-nucleotide ribosomal RNA is filed under the name uncultured bacterium. RNAcentral describes it as "partial 16S ribosomal RNA". It matches the Rfam family "Bacterial small subunit ribosomal RNA", at positions 524 to 776 of the family's 1533-position model. The record is from RNAcentral.